UACGUAGGGGGCAAGCGUUGUCCGGAAUUAUUGGGCGUAAAGAGCGUGUAGGCGGCCCGGCAAGUCCGCCGUGAAAGUCCAGGGCUCAACCCUGGAAUGCCGGUGGAAACUGUCGGGCUUGAGUUCGGAAGAGGCGAGUGGAAUUCCUGGUGUAGCGGUGAAAUGCGCAGAUAUCAGGAGGAACACCAAUGGCGAAGGCAGCUCGCUGGGACGACACUGACGCUGAGACGCGAAAGCGUGGGGAGCAAACAGG
This 253-nucleotide ribosomal RNA is filed under the name uncultured bacterium. Its description in RNAcentral is "partial 16S ribosomal RNA". It matches the Rfam family "Bacterial small subunit ribosomal RNA", at positions 524 to 776 of the family's 1533-position model. The record is from RNAcentral.